UUGCUCUCUCUAUAAAACAGCUACCCCUCCUGCAUGCAGUUGAGGGUUCCUGAACAUUUAGAAGGCAGAACACGAGCCAGGUUCUGAGGGCUGAUCACCCGAGGACCCCCUCCCGCUCACCGAAUCUACCGAAUCUUUUGCAGAGCGUAACGAAUAACGAAUAUGCUGUUGUCUCUGUUGUCCCUUGUAUGUCUGAUAAGUUAUUAUAUCAACACAGCACUACUUGCAAUCCACCUUUCAUGUGCCUCUGCCAACAUCUGAAGAAGUGAUUAAUAUGACACUUGGAAGGAAUUCUUUUCCAGGACUCUACUAUUAAAAUCUAAGGGGUAAACUCUGGUUUGUUCUAUGAGGAUGUGCAAAGGGGUGAAGUGAGCACUGGAACCUUCUUUCCUUUUCAUUGGUGCACCUGUGCAGGUGUUAGAUCAAAUACUGAUUUAGUGCUCCCCAUUACCUAGGAGUUGUCUAAUGUGCCAGGAGGCAGCUAACAUCUCCAGGAAAGCACAGUCAUCCAGAUAGAGUGUGUGGCCAAAUUCCUGCCUUGCCUUCCCCCAGAAGCUGGUCUUGGGGGACAGCAUGCUGCACUUCUCUUCAGAAGCAUUUAGAUCUGCUGUUGAGUGUAUUCUCCUCAGGCCCCACAUGUGGAAAAUGUCUGAAAAUCUUCGUAUGACUUCUACAGCUCUUAUUCCUUUCACCACCAACCAGAGCAGUUCAGAGGAUCCUCUCCUGAGGAAGCAGAGCCACAGAACAGGAAUAGGAAGAGGCAGG
Non-coding RNA from Pelodiscus sinensis (Chinese soft-shelled turtle), 765 nucleotides. NCBI's taxonomy places the organism in Eukaryota, Metazoa, Chordata, Testudines, Trionychidae. The record is from RefSeq and is a predicted model, not a curated record.